GUGAGGAAUAUUGGUCAAUGGGCGGGAGCCUGAACCAGCCAAGUCGCGUGAAGGAAGAAGGAUCUAUGGUUCGUAAACUUCUUUUGCAGGGGAAUAAAGUGCAGGACGUGUCCUGUUUUGUAUGUACCCUGAGAAUAAGGAUCGGCUAACUCCGUGCCAGCAGCCGCGGUAAUACGGAGGAUCCGAGCGUUGUCCGGAUUUAUUGGGUUUAAAGGGUGCGUAGGUGGUUUGAUAAGUCAGCGGUGAAAGUUUGCAGCUUAACUGUAAAAAUGCCGUUGAAACUGUCGGACUUGAGUGUAAAUGAGGUAGGCGGAAUGCGUGGUGUAGCGGUGAAAUGCAUAGAUAUCACGCAGAACUCCGAUUGCGAAGGCAGCUUACUAAGCUACAACUGACACUGAAGCACGAAAGCGUGGGGAUCAAACAGGAUUAGAAACCCGUGUAGUCC
Molecule: ribosomal RNA, 445 nt
Filed under: uncultured bacterium
Lineage: Bacteria
Description: partial 16S ribosomal RNA
Rfam family: Bacterial small subunit ribosomal RNA
Source: RNAcentral